This is a long non-coding RNA of Bubalus bubalis (water buffalo), 868 nucleotides long. RefSeq lists it as uncharacterized. The record is from RefSeq and is a predicted model, not a curated record. The transcript is spliced from 3 exons. Lineage: Eukaryota; Metazoa; Chordata; Mammalia; Artiodactyla; Bovidae.
CUCCCUUCUUUGCCUGUUGAGUCAUGAGAUGCCCAAAGUGGCUGGGUGGCAGUCUUAACUUCAAGUGCAAUGAAAUCUUUAUUGUGUCUCCUGGUGGAAGCAUCCUUCCCUCUGGAAGAAGGCCUCUAGGUCAGCAGAGCAUAAAGUCACAGGAACAGGAAGCAAAGGUCUUGCUGCUGAGUCAUUAGGGGAAAUAGGGUGCCACUCCCUUGAUUCCUGGACCCAUGAAUCCUGGCUAUCAGAGAAUCAGCACCAUAUAUCUAAUGCUGAUUCAGAGCACACACAGCCUCCUGGAGAACCUUGCCCCAGUCCCAGAACUGUGAAAUUCUCCUUAUAUGCCUGGUGAUCAUUGGUAAUAUGUGAUAAAGAACCACCUAGGUAUCCUCAGUGAUGGCAUCAUCAACUCGAUGGACAUGAGUUUGAGUACGCUCCAGGAGUUGGUGAUGGACAGGAAAGCCUGGCAUGCUGCAGUCCAUGGGGUCCCAAAGAGUCGGACACAACUGAGCGACUGAACUGAGGAACUUCCGGUAAGACCCAUUAGCUCUUCAAUAGAAGGCAUCAACUGAUGAAGAAGGAAACAGACAGAGCUGGACUCCAUCUUAGGCCUGGCUGUGAGCAUUAGGCUACACGCAUGGUCAUCCUCCCAAAGGACUCUGAACUUUGUGCCCAGUGUCUAUAGAAAUGGCAUACCCAUGGAACACCAGACCCCUGGAUAAAGGAGCCUCAAGACUUGUACUUGGACUCUCCUUUGCCUGAAAGAGUAUGCUAAUUAUCUCUGUAAGAGAACAAAGUGGUAAAUUCCAUUAUGUUUAUCCGGAUAUGACCCCAGGCCUAUUGAUAAACAUCCACUGUUUAUCUAGUCUUGUGA